CACAAAUCAUGCUGCUGGACAGUCAGCACUUUGCAGGUUUCUCCAUGCAUAAACUGCUUCAUAUGUUACUCAUACCACAGCUAGACUGACUGCCCAAGAAAACAAAGGACAAUGUGUAAGAAUGUGACCGUUUGACGUCUAUCCAAUGGUGUCAACUAAAAAUACAGUUUGACACAGGUAAACCGUAUUGACUACAUGCAACAGACAAAUAUAUGCGCAGCAGAAUAAACUAUUUAAUUUUG
Bombina bombina (fire-bellied toad) is the source of this 242-nucleotide long non-coding RNA. RefSeq lists it as uncharacterized. Lineage: Eukaryota; Metazoa; Chordata; Amphibia; Anura; Bombinatoridae. The record is from RefSeq and is a predicted model, not a curated record. The transcript is spliced from 2 exons.